CCUACGGGAGGCAGCAGUGAGGAAUCUUGGUCAAUGGCCGGAAGGCUGAACCAGCCAAGCCGCGUGAAGGACGAAUGUGCCAAGCAUUUUAAACUUCUUUUGUCAAGGGACAAAAUCAGGCUCGAGAGCCUGACCGAGGGUACUUGAAGAAAAAGCAUCGGCUAACUCCGUGCCAGCAGCCGCGGUAAUACUGAGGAUGCGAGCGUUAUCCGGAUUUAUUGGGUUUAAAGGGUGCGUAGGCGGGCUGUUAAGUCAGCGGUAAAAGCCCGGGGCUCAACCCCGGCGAGCCGUUGAAACUGGCUGUCGUGAGGUGUCGAGAGGUAUGCGGAAUGCGCAGGGUAGCGGUGAAAUGCUUAGAUAUUGCGCAGAACUCCGAUUGCGAAGGCAGCAUACCGGCGGCGAUCUGACGCUGAGGCACGAAAGCGUGGGUAUCGAACAGGAUUAGAUACCCGGGUAGUC
This 459-nucleotide ribosomal RNA is filed under the name uncultured bacterium. Its description in RNAcentral is "partial 16S ribosomal RNA". It matches the Rfam family "Bacterial small subunit ribosomal RNA", at positions 338 to 795 of the family's 1533-position model. The record is from RNAcentral.